CAGUCGCCGCGGUAAUACGUAGGGUGCGAGCGUUAAUCGGAAUUACUGGGCGUAAAGCGUGCGCAGGCGGUUGUGUAAGACAGGUGUGAAAUCCCCGGGCUUAACCUGGGAACUGCGCUUGUGACUGCACAGCUAGAGUAUGGCAGAGGGGGGUGGAAUUCCACGUGUAGCAGUGAAAUGCGUAGAGAUGUGGAGGAACACCGAUGGCGAAGGCAGCCCCCUGGGCCAAUACUGACGCUCAUGCACGAAAGCGUGGGGAGCAAACAGGAUUAGAUACCGUAGUCCCUGUCUCUUAUACACU
This 301-nucleotide ribosomal RNA is filed under the name uncultured bacterium. Its description in RNAcentral is "partial 16S ribosomal RNA". It matches the Rfam family "Bacterial small subunit ribosomal RNA", at positions 509 to 810 of the family's 1533-position model. The record is from RNAcentral.